This 904-nucleotide ribosomal RNA is filed under the name uncultured organism. RNAcentral's name for it is "bacterial SSU rRNA". It matches the Rfam family "Bacterial small subunit ribosomal RNA", at positions 19 to 967 of the family's 1533-position model. The record is from RNAcentral.
CUGGCUCAGGAUGAACGCUGGCGGUCUGCUUAACACAUGCAAGUCGAACGCAACCUUCGGGUUGAGUGGCGGACGGGUGAGUAACGCGUGAGAAUCUGCCUUGGGGUCGGGGACAACCACUGGAAACGGUGGCUAAUACCGGAUAAGCCUUUGGGUAAAAAAUUUAUUGCCCCAAGAGGAGCUCGCGUCUGAUUAGCUAGUUGGUGAGGUAAAAGCUCACCAAGGCAGCGAUCAGUAGCUGGUCUGAGAGGACGAUCAGCCACACUGGGACUGAGACACGGCCCAGACUCCUACGGGAGGCAGCAGUGGGGAAUUUUCCGCAAUGGGCGAAAGCCUGACGGAGCAAGACCGCGUGAGGGAGGAAGGCUCUUGGGUUGUAAACCUCUUUUCUCAGGGAAGAAGCUCUGACGGUACCUGAGGAAUCAGCCUCGGCUAACUCCGUGCCAGCAGCCGCGGUAAUACGGAGGAGGCAAGCGUUAUCCGGAAUUAUUGGGCGUAAAGCGUCCGCAGGUGGCGAUUCAAGUCUGCUGUCAAAGCACGGGGCUUAACUCCGUUAAGGCAGUGGAAACUGAAUAGCUAGAGUGCCGUAGGGGUAGAGGGAAUUCCCGGUGUAGCGGUGAAAUGCGUAGAGAUCGGGAAGAACAUCGGUGGCGAAAGCGCUCUACUGGACGGCAACUGACACUCAGGGACGAAAGCUAGGGGAGCGAAUGGGAUUAGAUACCCCAGUAGUCCUAGCUGUAAACGAUGGAUACUAGGUGUAGCUUGUAUCGACCCGAGCUGUGCCGAAGCUAACGCGUUAAGUAUCCCGCCUGGGGAGUACGCACGCAAGUGUGAAACUCAAAGGAAUUGACGGGGGCCCGCACAAGCGGUGGAGUAUGUGGUUUACUUCGAUGCAACGCGAAGA